Molecule: ribosomal RNA, 595 nt
Filed under: uncultured fungus
Lineage: Eukaryota; Fungi
Description: eukaryotic LSU rRNA
Rfam family: 5.8S ribosomal RNA (bases 162-315)
Source: RNAcentral
AAGGAUCAUUCAUAAUAAGUGUUCUACUGCACUUUUUAACAAGUACUCACCUUGUGUGCAAUGUUUGCUGACGCGUCGUUCACGCGUCACGUCAGCAUAAUACCAACCUUUACUUUAAUUUUUUUGUCUUAAGCUAUUUUGAAUAACAUAAUUCUAAAUACAACUUUCAACAACGGAUCUCUUGGCUCUCGCAUCGAUGAAGAACGCAGCGAAAUGCGAUACGCAAUGUGAAUUGCAGAAUUCAGUGAAUCAUCGGAUCUUUGAACGCACAUUGCACUCUCUGGUAUUCCGGAGAGUAUGCUUGUUUGAGUAUCUGUAAACAUCUCAACUCUCACGGCGCUUGCGUCGAGAGGAUUGGAUUUGAGCGAUCCCGACUCCUUCGUGAGAAAGAGGAGGGUCGCUUGAAAUGCAGGUGCAGCAGGACAUUCUUCUGAGCUAAAAGCAUAUCUAUUUAGUCCCGUCAAACGGAUUAUUACUUUUGCUUCAGCUAACACAAAGGUUGAAUGAACCACAAUCGCUGAUUGCAGGAAAACUCGUUCGUAACAGAACUUGUGAACUCGAUCUCAAAUCAAGUAAGACUACCCGCUGAACUUAA